Molecule: ribosomal RNA, 711 nt
Filed under: Escherichia coli
Lineage: Bacteria; Pseudomonadati; Pseudomonadota; Gammaproteobacteria; Enterobacterales; Enterobacteriaceae
Description: partial 23S ribosomal RNA
Rfam family: Bacterial large subunit ribosomal RNA
Source: RNAcentral
UGUUUGAUGUUCUAACGUUGGCCCCUGAUCGGGGUUGCGGACAGUGUCUGGUGGGUAGUUUGACUGGGGCGGUCUCCUCCUAAAGAGUAACGGAGGAGCACGAAGGUUGGCUAAUCCUGGUCGGACAUCAGGAGGUUAGUGCAAUGGCAUAAGCCAGCUUGACUGCGAGCGUGACGGCGCGAGCAGGUGCGAAAGCAGGUCAUAGUGAUCCGGUGGUUCUGAAUGGAAGGGCCAUCGCUCAACGGAUAAAAGGUACUCCGGGGAUAACAGGCUGAUACCGCCCAAGAGUUCAUAUCGACGGCGGUGUUUGGCACCUCGAUGUCGGCUCAUCACAUCCUGGGGCUGAAGUAGGUCCCAAGGGUAUGGCUGUUCGCCAUUUAAAGUGGUACGCGAGCUGGGUUUAGAACGUCGUGAGACAGUUCGGUCCCUAUCUGCCGUGGGCGCUGGAGAACUGAGGGGGGCUGCUCCUAGUACGAGAGGACCGGAGUGGACGCAUCACUGGUGUUCGGGUUGUCAUGCCAAUGGCACUGCCCGGUAGCUAAAUGCGGAAGAGAUAAGUGCUGAAAGCAUCUAAGCACGAAACUUGCCCCGAGAUGAGUUCUCCCUGACUCCUUGAGAGUCCUGAAGGAACGUUGAAGACGACGACGUUGAUAGGCCGGGUGUGUAAGCGCAGCGAUGCGUUGAGCUAACCGGUACUAAUGAACCGUGAGG